This 248-nucleotide unclassified non-coding RNA is filed under the name Virgaria sp. RNAcentral describes it as "partial contains 5.8S ribosomal RNA, internal transcribed spacer 2, and large subunit ribosomal RNA". Lineage: Eukaryota; Fungi; Ascomycota. The record is from RNAcentral.
CGCACAUUGCGCCCAUUAGUAUUCUAGUGGGCAUGCCUGUUCGAGCGUCAUUAAGUCCAUUAAGCCUAGUUGCUUAGCGUUGGGAGCAUUACCGUACGGUAACUCCUCAAAGUCAGUGGCAGGGUUACGGCACACUCUAAGCGUAGUAGAUUUCUUUCUCGCUUUUGUUGUGGCCGCGGCCGUUGCCAUAAACCUAUACUUUUUAGUUGGUUGACCUCGGAUCAGGUAGGAAUACCCGCUGAACUUAA